UAGGGAAUCUUCCACAAUGGGCGAAAGCCUGAUGGAGCAACGCCGCGUGUGUGAUGAAGGGUUUCGGCUCGUAAAACACUGUUGUAAGAGAAGAAUGACAUUGAGAGUAACUGUUCAAUGUGUGACGGUAUCUUACCAGAAAGGAACGUCUAAAUACGUGGCAG
RNAcentral lists this ribosomal RNA (164 nucleotides) under uncultured bacterium. RNAcentral's name for it is "partial 16S ribosomal RNA". It matches the Rfam family "Bacterial small subunit ribosomal RNA", at positions 355 to 511 of the family's 1533-position model. The record is from RNAcentral.